UAGGGAAUCUUCGGCAAUGGACGAAAGUCUGACCGAGCAACGCCGCGUGAGUGAAGAAGGUUUUCGGAUCGUAAAGCUCUGUUGUAAGUCAAGAACGUGUGUGAGAGUGGAAAGUUCACACAGUGACGGUAGCUUACCAGAAAGGGACGGCUAACUACGUGCCAGCAGCCGCGGUAAUACGUAGGUCCCGAGCGUUGUCCGGAUUUAUUGGGCGUAAAGGGAGCGCAGGCGGUCAGGAAAGUCUGGAGUA
RNAcentral lists this ribosomal RNA (250 nucleotides) under uncultured bacterium. RNAcentral's name for it is "partial 16S ribosomal RNA". It matches the Rfam family "Bacterial small subunit ribosomal RNA", at positions 355 to 596 of the family's 1533-position model. The record is from RNAcentral.